RNAcentral lists this ribosomal RNA (513 nucleotides) under Alteromonas sp. QPT_2_3. RNAcentral's name for it is "bacterial SSU rRNA". It matches the Rfam family "Bacterial small subunit ribosomal RNA", at positions 371 to 876 of the family's 1533-position model. The record is from RNAcentral. Lineage: Bacteria; Pseudomonadati; Pseudomonadota; Gammaproteobacteria; Alteromonadales; Alteromonadaceae.
AUGGGGGAAACCCUGAUGCAGCCAUGCCGCGUGUGUGAAGAAGGCCUUCGGGUUGUAAAGCACUUUCAGUUGUGAGGAAAAGUUAGUAGUUAAUACCUGCUAGCCGUGACGUUAACAACAGAAGAAGCACCGGCUAACUCCGUGCCAGCAGCCGCGGUAAUACGGAGGGUGCGAGCGUUAAUCGGAAUUACUGGGCGUAAAGCGCACGCAGGCGGUUUGUUAAGCUAGAUGUGAAAGCCCCGGGCUCAACCUGGGAUGGUCAUUUAGAACUGGCAGACUAGAGUCUUGGAGAGGGGAGUGGAAUUCCAGGUGUAGCGGUGAAAUGCGUAGAUAUCUGGAGGAACAUCAGUGGCGAAGGCGACUCCCUGGCCAAAGACUGACGCUCAUGUGCGAAAGUGUGGGUAGCGAACAGGAUUAGAUACCCUGGUAGUCCACACCGUAAACGCUGUCUACUAGCUGUGUGUGCCUUUAAGGCGUGCGUAGCGAAGCUAACGCGCUAAGUAGACCGCCUGG